RNAcentral lists this ribosomal RNA (323 nucleotides) under Ariadna sp. 5 MS-2022b. RNAcentral describes it as "partial small subunit ribosomal RNA". Lineage: Eukaryota; Metazoa; Arthropoda; Arachnida; Araneae; Segestriidae. The record is from RNAcentral.
GCACACUAGUUAACAAAUUCAUAGUUAAUUAUUAUUUAAAUAUUGAUUAUAAAUCCUGUUUCCUAGGUUUUUUGAAUUUUGUUCGAUAAAUGUUGUUUAAUGUAACUCACUUUGUCUUUCUUAUUGACUACACCUUGACCUGAUUUGUGAAAUAGUUGUUGUGGUUAUUUUUAUGGAGAUAACCUUAAAACGGCGGUAUGUAAGUUUUAAAGAAAGUGAAACUUAGCGGGGAGUGUCGAUUAAAAAGCAAGUUCCUCUAUAUAGAACAAGUGCCGCCAAACUACAUAGGUUUCGUUGUUUACUACUACCUAGUAAAGAGCAAA